CAGUAGCCGCGGUAAUACGAAGGGCGCGAGCGUUACCCGGAUUUACUGGGCGUAAAGGGCGUGUAGGCGGCCUGGGGUGUCCCAUGUGAAAGGCCACGGCUCAACCGUGGAGGAGCGUGGGAUACGCUCAGGCUAGAGGGUGGGAGAGGGUGGUGGAAUUCCCGGAGUAGCGGUGAAAUGCGCAGAUACCGGGAGGAACGCCGAUGGCGAAGGCAGCCACCUGGUCCACUUCUGACGCUGAGGCGCGAAGGCGUGGGGAGCAAACCGGAUUAGAUACCCCUGUAGUCCCUGUCUCUUAUAC
Molecule: ribosomal RNA, 301 nt
Filed under: uncultured bacterium
Lineage: Bacteria
Description: partial 16S ribosomal RNA
Rfam family: Bacterial small subunit ribosomal RNA
Source: RNAcentral